GCUCUCCGCGCCUCCGCAAGCGGCCAGGCUGCGGGAGGGGUGGGAGGGUGCUCCUGAUCCACCUGGAGCACUUUUGCAAAGACAGACGCGGUUCCUCCUACUUCAGAGCAUGUCUGGGCCAGCUGGGAUCCGACCAGCAACCGCAGCGGAGGAGAGGCAGGCGCGCAGGCUGAGCGCUAACUGAAGGCGCGACCUGAGCCCGGCGCCUGCUGGGGAGCUGCGCAGCCAGGACAGUGGUCCACAGCGCAGGGCCUGGGCACAGGGCCCGCCGUCACCGCCUCACGUUGGGGGCCAGCACUGCCACCUGCCAGCCCUGCCCCCUACCCUCGGACUUCCCAGGGAGCCCAGGGCCCUCCCAACGCGCUUGCACCCACAUCCGUCCCUGACCUACAGUGACCCUGCAUUCCCCGCCCCCUGCCACACCUCCUGCGUGCCCGAGUGUCACCCUUAAAUACCGCUCUACACCUAGAGAGGAACGAAUCCACCUCAGAAGGCAGGGCAAGACUAAUUUCAAUGGGUCAGAAGGUUCUCGCAGGCACUGUUUUAUUUAAGAGUGCCUAUUUACUGGCAGGAGUAUUUGUGUGGGAGGAAGUAGGCUAAGACUGCUGUUGAACUUGAAGCUAAACUUGAAUGCCAUUUAACAUAACAAUAAAAAUAUACUUAAAACACCAA
Mandrillus leucophaeus (drill) is the source of this 672-nucleotide long non-coding RNA. RefSeq lists it as uncharacterized. The record is from RefSeq and is a predicted model, not a curated record. Lineage: Eukaryota; Metazoa; Chordata; Mammalia; Primates; Cercopithecidae. The transcript has 2 exons.